AACGAGCGCUGGCGGCAUGCCUAACACAUGCAAGUCGAACGAGACCUUCGGGUCUAGUGGCGCACGGGUGCGUAACGCGUGGGAACCUGCCCUUAGGUUCGGAAUAACUCCCCGAAAGGGGUGCUAAUACCGGAUAAUGUCUUCGGACCAAAGAUUUAUCGCCUUUGGAUGGGCCCGCGUUGGAUUAGCUAGUUGGUAGGGUAAAAGCCUACCAAGGCGACGAUCCAUAGCUGGUCUGAGAGGAUGAUCAGCCACACUGGGACUGAGACACGGCCCAGACUCCUACGGGAGGCAGCAGUGGGGAAUAUUGGACAAUGGGCGAAAGCCUGAUCCAGCAAUGCCGCGUGAGUGAUGAAGGCCUUAGGGUUGUAAAGCUCCUUUACCCGGGAUGAUAAUGACAGUACCGGGAGAAUAAGCUCCGGCUAACUCCGU
RNAcentral lists this ribosomal RNA (432 nucleotides) under uncultured bacterium. RNAcentral describes it as "partial 16S ribosomal RNA". It matches the Rfam family "Bacterial small subunit ribosomal RNA", at positions 29 to 506 of the family's 1533-position model. The record is from RNAcentral.